UGCUCCUACGGGACGCAGCAGUGGGGAAUAUUGCACAAUGGGGGAAACCCUGAUGCAGCGACGCCGCGUGAGUGAAGAAGUAAUUCGUUAUGUAAAGCUCUAUCAGCAGGGAAGAAAAUGACGGUACCUGAGUAAGAAGCCCCGGCUAACUACGUGCCAGCAGCCGCGGUAAUACGUAGGGGGCAAGCGUUAUCCGGAUUUACUGGGUGUAAAGGGAGCGUAGACGGCAGUGCAAGUCUGGAGUGAAAGGAGGGGGCUGAACCCCCGGACUGCUCUGGAAACUGUACGGCUGGAGAGAGGGAGAG
This 305-nucleotide ribosomal RNA is filed under the name uncultured bacterium. RNAcentral's name for it is "bacterial SSU rRNA". It matches the Rfam family "Bacterial small subunit ribosomal RNA", at positions 334 to 656 of the family's 1533-position model. The record is from RNAcentral.